Molecule: non-coding RNA, 428 nt
Filed under: Stegodyphus mimosarum
Lineage: Eukaryota; Metazoa; Arthropoda; Arachnida; Araneae; Eresidae
Description: eukaryotic small subunit ribosomal RNA
Rfam family: Eukaryotic small subunit ribosomal RNA
Source: Rfam by way of RNAcentral
UAAGUAUAUUUACUGCCAUGUAUAUCUAGGUACAUGCUGUAUGAAAAUGAAACCUUGAAUGGUACAUGAAUCAGUUAUGGUUUCUUGGAUCGUACAUUAAUACUUCGAUAACUGCGUUAAUUUUAGAGAUAAUAUAUGCAGAAGAGUUCCGACUAUGUGGUGACGAGGCUUGCCUUUUUUUAAAUGUAACUAAUCGGACCUCGUGUACAAAUUAUGUGGUGAAUAUGUUUAACACACGUUCGUUCCGGCGAUGCAUCUUUCAACUGUCAUAUCACCUGUCGAUGGCAGGUUAUGCGCCUACCAUGGUUGCAAAGAAUGACUUCGGAUCAGUGUUCGAUUCCGGAAAUUGAGCCUGAGAAACGGCUACCACAUCCGAGGGAAGCACUAGGAGCGUGAAUCACCCACUUCCAGAACGAUGAGGUAGUGAA